UGGGGAAUUUUGGACAAUGGGCGAAAGCCUGAUCCAGCAAUGCCGCGUGCAGGAUGAAGGCCUUCGGGUUGUAAACUGCUUUUGUACGGAACGAAAAAGCUUCUCCUAAUACGAGAGGCCCAUGACGGUAACGUAAGAAUAAGCACCGGCUAACUACGGGCCAGCAGCCGCGGUAAUACGGAGGGUGCGAGCGUUAAUCGGAAUUAAUGGGCGGAAAGCGUGCGCAGGCGGUUAUGUAAGACAGAUGUGAAAUCCCCGGGCUCAACCUGGGAACUGCGUUUGUGACUGCUUGACUUGAGUACGGUAGAGGGAGAUGGAAUUCCGCGUGUAGCAGUGAAAUGCGUAGAUAUGCGGAGGAACACCAAUGGCGAAGGCCGUCCCCUGGACCUUUACUGACGCUAAUGCGCGAAAGCGUGGGGAGCAAACA
This 427-nucleotide ribosomal RNA is filed under the name uncultured bacterium. RNAcentral describes it as "bacterial SSU rRNA". It matches the Rfam family "Bacterial small subunit ribosomal RNA", at positions 355 to 774 of the family's 1533-position model. The record is from RNAcentral.